AAGCAAACAAGGUAUGAUCUAUGCAGUUGUUCAUCUGAAUUGUUUGUUUCUAGGCGGUGUAGGACGAGCUGCAGCAGGACAACCUGGAGCGGAAGAACUUCGAGGGUAAGAUCAAGGAGAACCAGGAGACGAUAACCGGUUACCUCAUCCUCGUCGGCAUGCUUGGCUUCUUUGGCAGUCCCCUCUUUGGCUCCGACCAACUUACUUCUGUCGCUGGCUAGCAGCAUUUCCAGGUGUUGUGUUCUGGAAGAUGAAAGAGGAAGAAAAUUUAUUUUUGUUGAACUAAAUUUUUUGUAUUCUGUUUUGUUGUACGUAUGAUUUGAUAGUUUUGUAUAGGAACAUGUGAUACUAUUUUGUAGGGCUUUAUGGCCUGUGAUGUAAACAUAUUUAGUGAUGAAUUAUGAAAUUAUUUGCAAAAUUUAUUGAAAAGGAGAAUCAUUUGUAUGAA
Triticum dicoccoides is the source of this 448-nucleotide long non-coding RNA. RefSeq lists it as uncharacterized. Lineage: Eukaryota; Viridiplantae; Streptophyta; Magnoliopsida; Poales; Poaceae. The record is from RefSeq and is a predicted model, not a curated record. The transcript is spliced from 2 exons.